GGGGAUGUAGCUCAGUGGUGGAAGAGCAUUUGAGGCCCUAGGUUCAAUCCCCAGCACCCCCC
This 62-nucleotide transfer RNA is filed under the name Fukomys damarensis (Damara mole-rat). It matches the Rfam family "tRNA". From Rfam's summary of the family: Transfer RNA (tRNA) molecules are approximately 80 nucleotides in length. Their secondary structure includes four short double-helical elements and three loops (D, anti-codon, and T loops). Lineage: Eukaryota; Metazoa; Chordata; Mammalia; Rodentia; Bathyergidae. The record is from Rfam by way of RNAcentral.